This is a long non-coding RNA of Phyllostomus hastatus (greater spear-nosed bat), 827 nucleotides long. RefSeq lists it as uncharacterized. The record is from RefSeq and is a predicted model, not a curated record. The transcript has 3 exons. Lineage: Eukaryota; Metazoa; Chordata; Mammalia; Chiroptera; Phyllostomidae.
CUGGAACUGUCCAGAUCAUGGAUCACGGUUUGUGUAGGGGCUGGGGAGCUCGACAAGGGCACACUCAGUAGAAGAGUGGGGACAAAGGACUCCUUGGAGUGAGUUCUAGAGAAAUACAAGGAGUACUGAGCCCACCCAAUGGAUGGAGAAGAGUAUCCCUCCUGUCAGGGGAAGAUAACCACAGAGAGAAGAGUGGAACUGAGGUCUCCUGUUCUGCCUCCUUCUAGCACAAGAAUACACAAGAUGUAAUAAUACUUGGUUAUAGCCCUGACUGGUGUGGCUCAGUGGGUUGGGCGUCGUUCCACAAAACGAAAGGUCACUGGUUCAGUUCCCAAUCAGCACAUGCCUGCAUUGCAUGAGAGGUGGCAGAUUGACAUCUGUCUCCAGAACUUUUUCAUCAUCCCAAACAGAAACUCUGAACCCAACAUGCAAAAAUUCCCCUUGCUUCGGUCCCUGGAAACCACGAAUCUGCCUUCUGUCUGGGGACUGUCUGCACAAAGAAGAGGGACAGCGGAUGAUCACACAGCGAAACAGCGACAAGCUCCUACAGGAAGGAGAGUGAGCAAGAGCAGCAACAGGCAUGACUGCGGAGGAAUCUCACAGAUGUCACAUGAGAAAGAAUCCUGGCGCAAACAGGACGUGCCCUGCGAUCCCUUCUCCGUGAAGAGUAAUAAGGGCGCCCCCCUGUGCCCGCUGGAGUUACAGCAGUGCUUACCCGUGAGCCUACGAGUGCGAGUACAUGUGUAGGGGCCUGGGAGGAGGCAGGCGGGGGUGUCUUGCUUCUUGGUGGGGGCAUUGCUUACGCAGAUGUGUUAACCUUGUAAACG